AUUAACUGUAAUAAUGUUGUACGUUGGUUUUAGUUAUUUUCUUUAAUACUAGCCUAUUACCCAUGCAUUUGCACGAGAUCACGAUCAAAAGAAACUUCAGUGGUUAAUUUUGUUUUAGUUUUCCUCACUCAUCUCUAAAUUUUAUUUUAUUUUAUUUAUUUAUUUGUUGUUUACUGUAAUGACUUUUGUUUUUAGAGAAAUUUUAUUAACACAUCCCUAAUUACUAGAUACAUAUCUCAUUCUUAAUACACUACCUAUUGACUUUAUUAUUUUACAUUUUACUAGCACUACCAGAAGAAAGACUUUAGCCGACGAAAAAAAAAAACACAGGCCGACGAAACAAUUUUUCGUCGGCUAAAGUACACUUUAGCCGACGAAAUUUUCCUUCGUCGGCUAAAUUAUAUUUUCGUCGGCUAUAGUCAACUUUAGCCGACGAAAUUAACAUUUCGUCGGCUAAAGAAUUUUUUUUCGUCGGCUAAAGUCUGUGACUUUAGCCGACGACUUUAAACUUUCUUUAGCCGACGAAAUUUUAAUUUCGUCGGCUAAAGUUGACUACAGCCGACGAAAAUAUAAUUUCGUCGGCUAAAGUUCUUUAUAUUCGCAGAUCUGGACAGCAGCUCAUCUGAGAAAAGAAAACGGGAGAAGAAAAAACGGGAGAAAAAGUUUGGGUGUUGUUGAAAUCUGUCCAUUAUUAAGAAGUGGAGCUAUAUAUAGGUACGUACAUGUGUAUAUAUNNNN
RNAcentral lists this long non-coding RNA (738 nucleotides) under Fragaria vesca (wild strawberry). Its description in RNAcentral is "long non-coding RNA (FVES_LNC001351)". The record is from RNAcentral. Lineage: Eukaryota; Viridiplantae; Streptophyta; Magnoliopsida; Rosales; Rosaceae.